UCGCCGCCCGGGACUCGGCGAGAAGUCCAUUGAACCUUAUCAUUUAGAGGAAGGAGAAGUCGUAACAAGGUUUCCGUAGGUGAACCUGCGGAAGGAUCAUUG
RNAcentral lists this ribosomal RNA (102 nucleotides) under Gomesa warmingii. Its description in RNAcentral is "partial 18S ribosomal RNA". It matches the Rfam family "Eukaryotic small subunit ribosomal RNA", at positions 1730 to 1831 of the family's 1831-position model. Lineage: Eukaryota; Viridiplantae; Streptophyta; Magnoliopsida; Asparagales; Orchidaceae. The record is from RNAcentral.